RNAcentral lists this transfer RNA (74 nucleotides) under Balearica regulorum gibbericeps (East African grey crowned-crane). RNAcentral describes it as "Balearica pavonina gibbericeps tRNA". It matches the Rfam family "tRNA". Rfam says of the family: Transfer RNA (tRNA) molecules are approximately 80 nucleotides in length. Lineage: Eukaryota; Metazoa; Chordata; Aves; Gruiformes; Gruidae. The record is from Rfam by way of RNAcentral.
GUCUCUGUGGUGCAAUGGGUUAGUGCUUUCAGCUGUUAACCGAAAGGUUAGUGGUUCAAGCCCACUGAGGGAUG